Molecule: long non-coding RNA, 503 nt
Organism: Salvia splendens (bonfire salvia)
Lineage: Eukaryota; Viridiplantae; Streptophyta; Magnoliopsida; Lamiales; Lamiaceae
Exons: 2
Source: RefSeq, a predicted model, not a curated record
AAAUGGACUUUAUUUACUGUUACAAUUCAUAUAUUUACUAUUACAAUUCAUCUUCUGACAUUAUAUGAUUUCCAUCUGAUUGAAUAGAUUGUGAAGUAAUGUCUCCUUUUGUAACCUGCUUAAACAAUCUUUCCAAGGCAAUCACUACAUCCACCAUUAAAGUAAGAUGUGUCUGUAGGUAUGAAGGGGUUCCAGAGGAUAAAAAUGAUAACAGCCUAGAGUGUGUUUUGCAUGAUAAUGUGGGGACAAGAAUCCAAGCAUCAUUCAGUCCAUGUUUAUGUUAUCUCCUGUAAAUUCUCAGCUACAUGAUUAUGCAGUUAUCUAAGUUGAAUUUGUCAUUAAGUCCAUGUUUAUGUUAUCCUAAUUUCACAAUGUUUACUAAUAGUGCUAAAUAUUUUGCAUAUGUAAAAACUCAUUUUACAAUGUAGUUUUCUUACCUUGAAUCUGCCAUUGCCUCCAUGCUCAUGUCAUCUUUUUUCAAGUCAUGCUUCCUUUGAUUGAUA